Molecule: long non-coding RNA, 2987 nt
Organism: Passer domesticus (house sparrow)
Lineage: Eukaryota; Metazoa; Chordata; Aves; Passeriformes; Passeridae
Exons: 13
Source: RefSeq, a predicted model, not a curated record
AGAGAUGAUGAUGAUGAUUAGAGGCCCAGUGCAAUUGGAAGGAACAUCUUUACUGUGGAAGGAACAUCUUUGCUUUGUGGGCCCUGACACUGCUUUUAAAGGAUGAUUUUUACAGAUAUUCUCACAUUGGAGUCUGCAUUUUUGCACUGCCUGCACUGUGGAGCAGUAUUUGCUGUUGCUGGAAAACAAGCCCUUCCACUAACACUGGGAGAGGAAAAAACAUAUUUAUGAGAUUCAGAUGAAUUACACCACAGAAUUUAUGGAACUACUUAUUACAUUUGGUAAUGAAUCAGGGAUUUUGCAGCUUUGCAAAAGUUGUUGGAGCUCCUCCUUCACUCCUGUGCAGAUUGACUCCCCUGCAAGCAGCUGCAUUACUGAAUGACUCAAUCUCUGAAAACAGUGGGGUUUUUUGUAAAUGUUUCUUAAAUUACCUGGCAAAACACGAAGACAAAUAAGAGGCUGCUGAGGUGGAAAUGUCUUUCAGAGCUUACCCCGAGCCCUGUGCUUCCCAUCAAGGGAGGUUUCUGAGUCCGAGGGGGCUUUGCUGGGAGGGAGGAAAGGAGAGCAGCAGUUCUGCUCUCAGCCCAGCUGCAGGAACCACUGGUCCAGGCUCAGUUACAGGGAUCACUGAGGCCCUGCUGCAGUCUGCAGGGCACAGGGAAGGCUCUGCUGCCCCAGGGGUGCCCCUCAGCCAGGCUGGCCACGUGUUUGAAGGCUUCUGGAAGAAGAAUUUCACCUGCUGUUGUUUCUCCUGUUACAUAAAAGGUGAAGGAGUUUCCCAUGGGGUUGUGCUUCUCUCUCUGCCCUGCUUCAGCUGGACAAGUGUCUUGCCUUCUCCUGAAGGACAGCAGUGAUGAUCCAGUCACCAAAUGGCCAUUGUGCAAAUGGGAAAGAGAAUUUUUGCCCAGAUGAAAGAUGGAAGAUGACUGAUCACCUUCGCAGGAUAACAGGAAUAGAGAGUUUAUCAUCCAUGUCUCAUUGGCAAGAGAAUUCAAGUGUUUUUACAUUUUCUUUCUGUGAAGAUAUUGAAUAGGAGACCAUAAACCAAGCAGGUGUGGCCUUUGACCUGUAAAAUCUGCAUGAAUGAUUUUAACAUCAAGGAUGGUACAGCCUUGAGAUCCAAACUUUAAAGGAGGCUAUGAAUUAUAUCCUUAGUUAUAAAUCUUCAUGGGAUUGAUACUUGAUGGAAGACUGCAGUCUGCCACAGCACAGGGUUCAUCUGCAGCUGCUGCACCUCUGCCUGGCAUUUCAAUGUCCCUCUGAGGGACCAAACCCAAGUGUCACACAAACUGCACAGCAGGAGGCAACUGUAAAUGUUAAAGCCCUCAAACUGCUCUGCUUGCAGGGGCCUCAGCGGCACCGAGCUGAUAUUGAGACGAGCACGUAUUGAAGAGAUUUUCCCAAGUGUGCUGCUCUCCUGAGUUACAGCAGUGCUGUGGAAGUGUUUGAGAGAAGGAAACAACUCCCUGCUAUCUGCUUCUGCUUGAUCCCAGCCUUUUUGAUCUGCAGAGGCAACAACAUCUUAGAGGAGAGGAUGUCUGUAGGCUCAGGGACAGCUGGAAAAGAAAUGCUGAAUAGCGCCUGAGUAGAUGGGAGAGAUACAGGGCUGGUGAGUCUCAGCUUCACUGAUGUCUGCUAAAGGAGUGUCCAUGGGUGCCUGUCCUGCUGUGCAUUGGGAUUUUAGGGCAGGAUCAUUUGUGUGUCACUGACUCCCAGCUGGGUAGUGGGGAAAUCUGUGGUACUGGGCCACCCCUGCUGCACCGGGCACUGGUCCUGCACCAUGGGUGGCAGGAGUGCCAAGAGGAAGAGGAGUAUGGAAUCACAAGUAUGGCAAAUUUGCAUUCAGACAUUUUCUUUUGGAGCAAAUUGUAUAGGAAUGUAUAAGGAGUGCCUCAACCCUCUGUCCAUAACACCUUUGGUAUGAAAAUGUUGCUGUGCCGGUUAAUAACUGCAAUGAAUGAUGAAAUAUCUGUGCACUGAUGGGAGGAGUCAGAGAUUACUUUCAGAGAUCAGGUGAGAAGAAACUCGUUGCUCUCAAGCCCUGGAAAACAGCCAGAGGGGAGCAGUCAGGACACACUGACCCUGCAGUGAGACCCAGAGUCACCAGAUCUUCCCCGCUGAGGUUUGCACCAAGAACCCCCACAACAAAUGCCCAGGAGGGGCUGCUCAGGAGGAAAGAAACCUUCACCAAUAUGAAGUCUUUUGAACCACAGUGAGAUUUGAGCCAUUCAGGGAGCUGACUGUCCCAUCUGCAAACAAAUGGCAUGGAAAAAUUUAACUUGCCAGCCACUGAAAGCUCAUCUCUAGAUACUUCAGGAAGGAGGUUGUUCAGUGCACUGAGGGGCUGCUCCAGCAUGGGACAAAUGUUUGGACAGAGUAUGGUGAAAGUUAGCCUGUUAGCCUGUUACCCAAACCAUUUACUUGUUCCUUCCUCCUCAACACUCACCUUUGAGUUGAAUCAUGUCUCAUUUUUAUGUGAGGGUGGUUUUUUCCCCAUCUAUAUCCAUUAAGUUUCAUUCCUGUCUGCAUAUGAUAGAGAGAGGUGAAAGAGCACUGCUGAGCCCCUGAUAUGCUUUCUAAAUGUGGUUUUUAUUGCUCAAAAUCCAAUAAAUCUGCUAAGGUGAAGGAGGCUAAUGUGAGCAGUCCUGCAGGCUAGAGGCCAGCCCGGAUGCCUCACUUGUGGUGCCUGGAGAGCAUCAAGUCUGGGCCAGGAGGGACCCUCUUGCUGUGCCUUUGCUUUGCAUUUGGCUUCCUUUGGCAAUGACAUUUUUCUCAGUAUCACUGGAGGAAACACUGAUUGCUCUCCCUUCUCUGGAGGGGUUGUUUGUACCCAGAGCUGCCUCAGCAGAUUCUGCAGACUGAGCUGAUCAGUCUUUUCCUCACCAGCUCCAUCUCCAGCAGCACCUGCCUUUGUGUCCAAGUUAAGGUGUGCAAAAUGAAAUUUGACUUUGGAAUACUGUAUGAGAGAUGAUUUAAAGCAGCUUUGC